GCUGGCGUAGCUCAAUUGGCAGAGCACCUCACUUGUAAUGAGGAUGUUGGGGGUUCAAUUCCUCUCGCCAGCUCCA
This 76-nucleotide transfer RNA is filed under the name Desulfuromusa kysingii. RNAcentral describes it as "tRNA_Thr_TGT". It matches the Rfam family "tRNA". Rfam says of the family: Transfer RNA (tRNA) molecules are approximately 80 nucleotides in length. Lineage: Bacteria; Pseudomonadati; Thermodesulfobacteriota; Desulfuromonadia; Desulfuromonadales; Geopsychrobacteraceae. The record is from RNAcentral. RNAcentral also lists the same sequence under 5 other names.